GCCAGUGUAGUGUCGUGGUUUGAGCUUUGGACUACGACUCUGGAGACCAGGGUUCGAAUCCCCACUGGGC
This is a non-coding RNA of Phrynosoma platyrhinos (Desert horned lizard), 70 nucleotides long. NCBI's taxonomy places the organism in Eukaryota, Metazoa, Chordata, Lepidosauria, Squamata, Phrynosomatidae. The record is from the annotation of a GenBank genome assembly.